RNAcentral lists this ribosomal RNA (253 nucleotides) under uncultured bacterium. RNAcentral's name for it is "partial 16S ribosomal RNA". It matches the Rfam family "Bacterial small subunit ribosomal RNA", at positions 524 to 776 of the family's 1533-position model. The record is from RNAcentral.
UACAGAGGGUGCGAGCGUUGUCCGGAAUUACUGGGCGUAAAGGGCGCGUAGGCGGCCUGAUAAGUAGGGGGUGAAAUUCCGUGGCUCAACCACGGAACUGCCUUCUAGACUGCCAGGCUUGAGCACGGUAGAGGCAGAUGGAAUUCCCGGUGUAGCGGUGGAAUGCGUAGAGAUCGGGAAGAACACCAGUGGCGAAGGCGGUCUGCUGGGCCGUUGCUGACGCUGAGGCGCGACAGCGUGGGGAGCAAACAGG